UACGGGGGGGGCAAGCGUUGUUCGGAAUUACUGGGCGUAAAGGGCUCGUAGGCGGCCAACUAAGUCAGACGUGAAAUCCCUCGGCUUAACCGGGGAACUGCGUCUGAUACUGGAUGGCUCGAGUUUGGGAGAGGGAUGCGGAAUUCCAGGUGUAGCGGUGAAACGCGUAGAUAUCUGGAGGAACACCGGUGGCGAAGGCGGCAUCCUGGACCAACACUGACGCUGAUGAGCGAAAGCCAGGGGAGCAAACGGG
This 253-nucleotide ribosomal RNA is filed under the name uncultured bacterium. Its description in RNAcentral is "partial 16S ribosomal RNA". It matches the Rfam family "Bacterial small subunit ribosomal RNA", at positions 524 to 776 of the family's 1533-position model. The record is from RNAcentral.